Molecule: ribosomal RNA, 372 nt
Filed under: uncultured organism
Description: bacterial SSU rRNA
Rfam family: Bacterial small subunit ribosomal RNA
Source: RNAcentral
CGUAGGGAGCAAGCGUUGUCCGGAAUCAUUGGGCGUAAAGCGCGCGUAGGCGGCCCGAUAAGUCCGUUGUGAAAGUCAAAGGCUCAACCUUUGAAUGCCGAUGGAUACUGUCGGGCUAGAGUCCGGAAGAGGCGAGUGGAAUUCCUGGUGUAGCGGUGGAAUGCGCAGAUAUCAGGAGGAACACCAAUAGCGAAGGCAGCUCGCUGGGACGGUACUGACGCUAAGGCGCGAAAGCGUGGGGAGCGAACAGGAUUAGAUACCCUGGUAGUCCACGCCGUAAACGAUGGGCACUAGGUGUGGGAGGUGUCGACUCCUCCCGUGCCGUCGCUAACGCACUAAGUGCCCCGCCUGGGGAGUACGGCCGCAAGGCUA